This 402-nucleotide long non-coding RNA is filed under the name Linum usitatissimum (flax). RNAcentral's name for it is "long non-coding RNA (LUSI_LNC006719)". Lineage: Eukaryota; Viridiplantae; Streptophyta; Magnoliopsida; Malpighiales; Linaceae. The record is from RNAcentral.
GCCGAGGAGAGGCUCUGCUCUCAGCUCGGCGAAUUGGAGGCUGAGGCCGUCAAUCAAGCGCGUGAUUAUCACGCUCGUAUCAUCUCCUUGAUGGAGCAGCUUCAGCAAGCUGAGGGUCUCCUCCUCCUCCACUCCUCCUCCUCGUCGUCUCUGGCCUCCUCAUAACAACUGGAGUUACUUAUCCUUGCUGUUGUAAUUAGAUUAGAGAUUAUCAUUUGCAAUUUUGUGAAUUAAUUAAAGCUCUCUUGUGUUCACCAAAUGCUCUGUUUACAGUUCUGUUACAUACUCUGUGCGAGAAAAAAACAAUGGGAUUUGAAUUUUAUAAUGGUAAAGUUUGCAUUAUUGCGAGCUAAAGAAUCGGUGAGUCUAACAAUAUGCGAUAGUUAGCUUAGAAUUAAUUCG